CAAGCGUUGUUCGGAAUUACUGGGCGUAAAGGGCUCGUAGGCGGCCAACUAAGUCGGACGUGAAAUCCCUCGGCUUAACCGGGGAACUGCGUCUGAUACUGGAUGGCUGGAGUGUGGGAGAGGGAUGCGGAAUUCCAGGUGUAGCGGUGAAAUGCGUAGAUAUCUGGAGGAACACCGGUGGCGAAGGCGGCAUCCUGGACCAUUACUGACACUGAAAAGCGAAAGCCAGGGGAGCAAACGGG
RNAcentral lists this ribosomal RNA (242 nucleotides) under uncultured bacterium. RNAcentral describes it as "partial 16S ribosomal RNA". It matches the Rfam family "Bacterial small subunit ribosomal RNA", at positions 535 to 776 of the family's 1533-position model. The record is from RNAcentral.